GACGAACGCUGGCGGCGUGCUUAACACAUGCAAGUCGAACGGUGACGCGCUUUCCUUUUUGGUUGGUGUGGAUGAGUGGCGAACGGGUGAGUAACACGUGAGUAACCUGCCCCCUUCUUCUGGAUAACCGCAUGAAAGUGUGGCUAAUACGGGAUAUUCUGCGCCUGCUGCAUGGUGGGUGUGGGAAAGAUUGUGCCUUUGGGUGUUUUCGGUGGGGGAUGGGCUCGCGGCCUAUCAGCUUGUUGGUGGGGUGAUGGCCUACCAAGGCGGUGACGGGUAGCCGACCUGAGAGGGUGGACGGUCACACUGGGACUGGGACACGGCCCAGAAUCCUACGGGAGGCAGCAGUGGGGAAUAUUGCACAGUGGGCGCAAGCCUGAUGCAGCGACGCCGCGUGAGGGAUGGAGGCCUUCGGGUUGUGAACCUCUUUCGCCAGUGAAGCAGGCCUGCUCCUUGUGGGUGGGUUGACGGUAGCUGGAGAAGAAGCGCCGGCUAACUACGUG
This 503-nucleotide ribosomal RNA is filed under the name uncultured bacterium. RNAcentral's name for it is "partial 16S ribosomal RNA". It matches the Rfam family "Bacterial small subunit ribosomal RNA", at positions 28 to 507 of the family's 1533-position model. The record is from RNAcentral.